Molecule: long non-coding RNA, 182 nt
Organism: Ornithodoros turicata
Lineage: Eukaryota; Metazoa; Arthropoda; Arachnida; Ixodida; Argasidae
Exons: 3
Source: RefSeq, a predicted model, not a curated record
UCAAGGAGGAGAGAUCAUGAAGAUGUCUAUAGUCGUAGUUGUAGCCCUCAUUGUCAUGGCCUCCGGUAUCGAUUUGUCAAUUGGAUGUGGAUCAUGCACUGACAGCGAAUGCGAAUACCACAGUUUGGGAAACGGUCAUGACUGGUGCACUGGAGCGGGCUGUCAUUUACAAAAAGAAGGGA